GAUGAACGCUGGCGGCGUGCCUAACACAUGCAAGUCGAACGAGAUGCGUAUCGGAAAGCUUCGGCCGGAAGAUACGUUAUCUAGUGGCGGACGGGUGAGUAACACGUGGGUAACCUGCCUUAUGGAGGGGGAUAACAGAGAGAAAUCACUGCUAAUACCGCAUAAGCACACAGUACCGCAUGGUACAGGGUGAAAAGAUUUAUCGCCAUAAGAUGGACCCGCGUCUGAUUAGCCAGUUGGCAGGGUAAAAGCCUACCAAAGCAACGAUCAGUAGCCGAUCUGAGAGGAUGACCGGCCACAUUGGGACUGAGACACGGCCCAAACUCCUACGGGAGGCAGCAGUGGGGAAUAUUGCACAAUGGGGGGAACCCUGAUGCAGCGACGCCGCGUGAGUGAAGAAGUAUUUCGGUAUGUAAAGCUCUAUCAGCAGGGAAGAUAAUGACAGUACCUGACUAAGAAGCCCCGGCUAACUACGUGCCAGCAGCCGCGGUAAUACGUAGGGGGCAAGCGUUAUCCGGAUUUACUGGGUGUAAAGGGAGCGUAGACGGAAUGGCAAGUCUGAAGUGAAAUACCCGGGCUCAACCUGGGAACUGCUUUGGAAACUGUUGUUCUAGAGUGUUGGAGAGGUAAGUGGAAUUCCUGGUGUAGCGGUGAAAUGCGUAGAUAUCAGGAAGAACACCGGAGGCGAAGGCGGCUUACUGGACAAUAACUGACGUUGAGGCUCGAAAGCGUGGGGAUCAAACAGG
RNAcentral lists this ribosomal RNA (746 nucleotides) under uncultured Oribacterium sp. Its description in RNAcentral is "bacterial SSU rRNA". It matches the Rfam family "Bacterial small subunit ribosomal RNA", at positions 28 to 776 of the family's 1533-position model. The record is from RNAcentral. Lineage: Bacteria; Bacillati; Bacillota; Clostridia; Lachnospirales; Lachnospiraceae.